RNAcentral lists this ribosomal RNA (468 nucleotides) under uncultured bacterium. RNAcentral's name for it is "partial 16S ribosomal RNA". It matches the Rfam family "Bacterial small subunit ribosomal RNA", at positions 28 to 523 of the family's 1533-position model. The record is from RNAcentral.
GAUGAACGCUGGCGGCGUGCCUAACACAUGCAAGUCGAGCGAUCCUCUUCGGAGAAGAGCGGCGGACGGGUGAGUAACGCGUGGGUAACCUGCCCUGUACACACGGAUAACAUACCGAAAGGUAUGCUAAUACGAGAUAAUAUGCUUUUAUCGCAUGGUAGAAGUAUCAAAGCUUUUGCGGUACAGGAUGGACCCGCGUCUGAUUAGCUAGUUGGUAAGGUAACGGAUUACCAAGGCGACGAUCAGUAGCCGACCUGAGAGGGUGAUCGGCCACAUUGGAACUGAGACACGGUCCAAACUCCUACGGGAGGCAGCAGUGGGGAAUAUUGCACAAUGGGCGAAAGCCUGAUGCAGCAACGCCGCGUGAGCGAUGAAGGCCUUCGGGUCGUAAAGCUCUGUCCUCAAGGAAGAUAAUGACGGUACUUGAGGAGGAAGCCCCGGCUAACUACGUGCCAGCAGCCGCAGUAA